RNAcentral lists this ribosomal RNA (433 nucleotides) under uncultured bacterium. RNAcentral describes it as "partial 16S ribosomal RNA". It matches the Rfam family "Bacterial small subunit ribosomal RNA", at positions 29 to 507 of the family's 1533-position model. The record is from RNAcentral.
AACGAACGCUGGCGGCAUGCCUAACACAUGCAAGUCGAACGAGACCUUCGGGUCUAGUGGCGCACGGGUGCGUAACGCGUGGGAACCUGCCCUUAGGUUCGGAAUAACUCCCCGAAAGGGGUGCUAAUACCGGAUAAUGUCUUCGGACCAAAGAUUUAUCGCCUUUGGAUGGGCCCGCGUUGGAUUAGCUAGUUGGUAGGGUAAAAGCCUACCAAGGCGACGAUCCAUAGCUGGUCUGAGAGGAUGAUCAGCCACACUGGGACUGAGACACGGCCCAGACUCCUACGGGAGGCAGCAGUGGGGAAUAUUGGACAAUGGGCGAAAGCCUGAUCCAGCAAUGCCGCGUGAGUGAUGAAGGCCUUAGGAUUGUAAAGCUCUUUUACCCGAGAUGAUAAUGACAGUACCGGGAGAAUAAGCUCCGGCUAACUCCGUG